RNAcentral lists this ribosomal RNA (460 nucleotides) under uncultured bacterium. RNAcentral's name for it is "partial 16S ribosomal RNA". It matches the Rfam family "Bacterial small subunit ribosomal RNA", at positions 338 to 795 of the family's 1533-position model. The record is from RNAcentral.
CCUACGGGCGGCAGCAGUGAGGAAUAUUGGUCAAUGGGCGAGAGCCUGAACCAGCCAAGUCGCGUGAAGGAUGACGGCCCUACGGGUUGUAAACUUCUUUUGUCAGGGAGCAAUUGAGUCCACGUGUGGGCUUAGCGAGAGUCCCUGAAGAAAAAGCAUCGGAUAACUCCGUGCCAGCAGCCGCGGUAAUACGGAGGAUGCGAGCGUUAUCCGGAUUUAGUGGGUUUAAAGGGUGCUUAGGCGGAAUAUCAAGUCAGCGGUAAACAUUCGGGGCUCAACCCCGUCGUGCCGUUGAAACUGAUGUUCUUGAGAGGGCGAGAAGUAUGCGGAAUGCGGGGUGUAGCGGUGAAAUGCAUAGAUAUCACGCAGAACUCCGAUUGCGAAGGCAGCAUACCGGCGCCCAACUGACGCUGAGGCACGAAAGCGUGGGUAUCGAACAGGAUUAGAUACCCCUGUAGUC